Molecule: ribosomal RNA, 439 nt
Filed under: uncultured bacterium
Lineage: Bacteria
Description: bacterial SSU rRNA
Rfam family: Bacterial small subunit ribosomal RNA
Source: RNAcentral
AACGCGAAGAACCUUACCAAGGCUUGACAUGCAAGGAAAUCUCGUAGAGAUACGGGGUCCGCAAGGGUCUUGCACAGGUGGUGCAUGGUUGUCGUCAGCUCGUGUCGUGAGAUGUUGGGUUAAGUCCCGCAACGAGCGCAACCCUCGUCCUAUGUUGCCAGCGAGUAAUGUCGGGGACUCAUAGGAGACUGCCGGGGUCAACUCGGAGGAAGGUGGGGAUGACGUCAAAUCAUCAUGCCCCUUAUGUCUUGGGCUGCACACAUGCUACAAUGGUCGGUACAAAGGGCUGCUAAGCCGCAAGGUGGAGCGAAUCCCAAAAAGCCGGCCUCAGUUCGGAUUGGGGUCUGCAACUCGACCCCAUGAAGUCGGAGUCGCUAGUAAUCGCAGAUCAGCAACGCUGCGGUGAAUACGUUCCCGGGCCUUGUACACACCGGUACUA